This 497-nucleotide ribosomal RNA is filed under the name uncultured bacterium. RNAcentral describes it as "partial 16S ribosomal RNA". It matches the Rfam family "Bacterial small subunit ribosomal RNA", at positions 28 to 507 of the family's 1533-position model. The record is from RNAcentral.
GAUGAACGCUGGCGGCGUGCCUAAUACAUGCAAGUCGAGCGAACAGACGAGGAGCUUGCUCCUCUGACGUUAGCGGCGGACGGGUGAGUAACACGUGGAUAACCUACCUAUAAGACUGGGAUAACUUCGGGAACCCGGAGCUAAUACCGGAUAAUAUAUUGAACCGCAUGGUUCAAUCGUGAAAGGCAGUUUUGCUGUCACUUAUAGAUGAUUCCGCGACGCAUUAGCUAGUUGGUAAGGUAACGGCUUACCAAGGCGACGAUGCGUAGCCGACCUGAGAGGGUGAUCGUCCACACUGGAACUGAGACACGGUCCAGACUCCUACGGGAGGCAGCAGUAGGGAAUCUUCCGCAAUGGGCGAAAGCCUGACGGAGCAACGCCGCGGGAGUGAGGAAGGUCUUCGGAUCGUAAAACUCUGUUAUUAGGGAAGAACAAAUGUGUAAGUAACUAUGCACGUCUUGACGGUACCUAAUCAGAAAGCCACGGCUAACUACGUG